AGCUUUAACCCCCCCUCAAGUUGAACGGGUGUGGGGUGAUCAAUGCAGCCAUCAAACAAGUUCAACUUGGCGAGUAAGUGUUGAAGACGAGGAGCGGACAUAGCUUUCGUAAGAAGAUCGGCCAGCUGAUCGUCAGUUUUGAGGAAACAAAAGGCCAUAAUCAAGAAGAAGAAGAAGACAGAGAUAGAGUCGAGAGGAAGAAGAAAGUAAAACAGUAACUCAUUUCAUUCAAAAGUGACCAACCAACAACGGCUACAAUCAGACUUAUAUGAAAAGUACUGACAUUACCGUACAUGAAACAAAUAUAAAAAAUGAGAUAAGAAAUGGACCAAAAACAAGGACCCAAACUAUGACUAAAAGAGAUUAAAAUACAUAAGCCCAAUGAUAAAGAAGUAAGGCCUGGAAGUUGGAGGCCCAUGAAGGUUGAAGAAAAACAAAAGCUAGAAGCUUCGCACAGCAGAGAAGUAAACCCAGAAGGAAGCUUGGCAGCAGAGAAGGGAGGAGAU
Long non-coding RNA from Tripterygium wilfordii, 506 nucleotides. RefSeq lists it as uncharacterized. NCBI's taxonomy places the organism in Eukaryota, Viridiplantae, Streptophyta, Magnoliopsida, Celastrales, Celastraceae. The transcript is spliced from 2 exons. The record is from RefSeq and is a predicted model, not a curated record.